This 441-nucleotide ribosomal RNA is filed under the name uncultured bacterium. RNAcentral's name for it is "partial 16S ribosomal RNA". It matches the Rfam family "Bacterial small subunit ribosomal RNA", at positions 338 to 795 of the family's 1533-position model. The record is from RNAcentral.
CCUACGGGAGGCAGCAGUGGGGAAUAUUGCACAAUGGGGGAAACCCUGAUGCAGCGACGCCGCGUGCGUGAAGAAGUAUUUCGGUAUGUAAAGCUCUAUCAGCAGGGAAGUAAAAAGACGGUACCUGACUAAGAUGCCUCGGCCAACGACGUGCCAGCAGCCGCGGUAAUACGUAGGGGGCAAGCGUUAACCGGAUUUACUGGGUGUAAAGGGAGCGUAGGCGGUAUGGCAAGUCUGAGGUGAAAGCCCAGGGCUUAACCCUGGGACUGCCUUUGAAACCGUUAGACUAGAGUGCUGGAGAGGUAAGUGGAAUUACUAGUGUAGCGGUGAAAUGCGUAGAUAUUAGGAAGAACACCGGUUGCGAAGGCAGCUUACUGGACAGUAACUGACGUUGAGGCACGAAAGCGUGGGGAGCAAACAGGAUUAGAUACCCGUGUAGUC